Molecule: transfer RNA, 70 nt
Filed under: Marmota monax (woodchuck)
Lineage: Eukaryota; Metazoa; Chordata; Mammalia; Rodentia; Sciuridae
Description: tRNA.Ala
Source: RNAcentral
GGGGUUGUGGCUCAGUGGUAGAGCCUUACCUAGCAUGUGUGAGGCACUGGGUUCAAUUCGCAGCACCACA